AUUCCAGCUCCAAUAGCGUAUAUUUAAGUUGUUGCAGUUAAAAAGCUCGUAGUUGGAUUUUGGGUCGACGACACCGGUCCGCCGUUCCGGUGUGCACUGGUGGCGUCUUCCUUUCUGCCGGGGACGCGUGUCUGGGCUUCAUUGUCCGGCGCGCGGAGUCGGCGUUGUUACUUUGAAAAAAUUAGAGUGUUCAAAGCAGGCAUUUGCUGUGAAUACAUUAGCAUGGAAUAAUAAGAUAGGACUUUGGCGCUAUUUUGUUGGUUUGCGUACCAAGGUAAUGAUUAAUAGGGAUAGUUGGGGGUAUUCGUAUUCAAUUGUCAGAGGUGAAAUUCUUGGAUUUUGGAAGGAUGAACUACUGCGAAGGCAUUUACCAAGGAUGUUUUCAUUA
Molecule: ribosomal RNA, 388 nt
Filed under: Prasinococcales sp.
Lineage: Eukaryota; Viridiplantae; Prasinodermophyta; Palmophyllophyceae; Prasinococcales
Description: partial small subunit ribosomal RNA
Rfam family: Eukaryotic small subunit ribosomal RNA
Source: RNAcentral